CGCAGGCCUUCGACCUGCGCUGAGGUAUGUCGCCCUUUCAGGGCU
Non-coding RNA from Mucilaginibacter sp. OK098, 45 nucleotides. The record is from Rfam. Lineage: Bacteria; Pseudomonadati; Bacteroidota; Sphingobacteriia; Sphingobacteriales; Sphingobacteriaceae.